Molecule: ribosomal RNA, 425 nt
Filed under: uncultured bacterium
Lineage: Bacteria
Description: bacterial SSU rRNA
Rfam family: Bacterial small subunit ribosomal RNA
Source: RNAcentral
GGGGAAUAUUGCACAAUGGGCGCAAGCCUGAUGCAGCCAUGCCGCGUGUAUGAAGAAGGCCUUCGGGUUGUAAAGUACUUUCAGCGAGGAGGAAGGCGUUGUGGUUAAUAACCACAGCGAUUGACGUUACUCGCAGAAGAAGCACCGGCUAACUCCGUGCCAGCAGCCGCGGUAAUACGGAGGGUGCAAGCGUUAAUCGGAAUUACUGGGCGUAAAGCGCACGCAGGCGGUCUGUCAAUUCGGAUGUGAAAUCCCCGGGCUCAACCUGGGAACUGCAUCCGAAACUGGCAGGCUAGAGUCUUGUAGAGGGGGGUAGAAUUCCAGGUGUAGCGGUGAAAUGCGUAGGGAUCUGGAGGAAUACCGGUGGCGAAGGCGGCCCCCUGGACAAAGACUGACGCUCAGGUGCGAAAGCGUGGGGAGCAAAC